This 667-nucleotide long non-coding RNA is filed under the name Parus major (Great Tit). Its description in RNAcentral is "lncRNA (ENSPMJG00000007135.1)". The record is from RNAcentral. Lineage: Eukaryota; Metazoa; Chordata; Aves; Passeriformes; Paridae.
AACAGCGGCCGAGUUCUCCCCAGGGCUUGGCAGCACUGGGAUUUCGCCUACGGAUCACAUCAGCCAGCCAGGCUUCUCUGGGAAAAGCUGGGAUGAGCUGGGAAAAGCCCAGGGAAGGGCAUGGAGACCACCAUGAAGGGUCCAUGGAGGACACCCAUCACCUAAAUGUGCCAUCCACAACCAAGAGGGUUUUGGCACUUAAAUGAGCCAUUUUCCCACUGGGAACGGUGGGAGGAGAGGGAAUCACAGCAGGAAAAAAUGCUGACCAGUGUGAUGCAUGGCCACAGGCAUGACCCAGGUGUGUGGAAACCAGAAUGGGAAGCAACCAGAGAUGUGCUGCUCCCCGCACCCUGCAGCUCAGCUCCAGCACAGCCCUGUGGGGAACCCUGAAAUUGGAGCUGUCUGAGCAAAUUCAGGACACUGGAGGUAAAACCAGAAUGAAGCAUCAGGGCAGGAGCAAAAGAAAAACAAGUUCUCCACACCCUCUGAGCUGAGGAGGCUGGGAAUGGAGGUGAGUUAAUACUCCCAGAGUGGAAUGUCAUCCCAAGCUCCACAUCAACUAGAGCAAAACUUGACUCAGUGUUUAACCCAGCUAAACCCUGGCUGUGGACUGAGUCAUUAGGAGAACCAGCAAUUGCCUGCCAAAACCCCAAAACACACUUCUCAA